Populus trichocarpa (black cottonwood) is the source of this 2523-nucleotide RNA transcript. RefSeq lists it as uncharacterized. The transcript is spliced from 9 exons. Lineage: Eukaryota; Viridiplantae; Streptophyta; Magnoliopsida; Malpighiales; Salicaceae. The record is from RefSeq and is a predicted model, not a curated record.
CUAUAAUUGAAGAAUGAAAUAUACGCGUGAAGCAUAUGCCUGCAAACCUACCAUUCAAAAUGCUACUAAGACCAGAGAGGAAGAGCUCGGAACCAAACAGACAUUUAUCUACCAGUCAAACUUCGUAAAACUCAAACUCCUUUUCAAGAGACCAAACUCGUCAGACGAAAAUCAUUUAGCUUGGUGAAAGAAUCACAGCAGAGUAUGGGGAGAAGAACCAGCACCACCAGUUCAGAGAUGUUCUUGCACAGGAAAUAUACCAGGGAAUCGCCGCAACAUUAAGAAGAGCCUGCCAAAAGAUGACGAUUCAAAAGGUACAGAUACUUAUGUAAGACGCUUUAUCUUCCAGGAGAACAAAAUCAAGCAAGAAGAGGAAUCAAAGUUACCGAAUAUGUCGUGGAUUCAUUACUGUUUCCAGUUACCAGAUAUGUCGUCAGUGUAUUUUGACCAGAGUCCAAGAGAAAUCCCAUGAAAAACAGACACUUGUAGAGUAUAGAGGGAUACUCUCCUUGUCAGGAUUGAUUGUCUGUCCAGACCAGAGUAGAGGCCCAAACUCCAACAUUUGUCAGCUGAAAUGACUCCUCAGUCACCAGUCCGAGAAGCACAAGAUAAGCCGAAGCAAGCAAGAAAAGGAAGGCGAGCAGCACACGCAAUGUACAAACACAGCAGCAACAGCAUGAAUUUUGCUUGAAAUAGCUUAGCGUUAAGAAAGAAUGGAUUACGAAAGGAUCGAAAAGCCUCAGGGAGGAGGGGGAGGAUUGUCACCGGGGAAACUGAGAAGCAUGAUUCUAGGAGUGGAAAAGAAGAGAAAUCAACAAGAACAAGAGGAAGAGCUUGAAUCCUCUAACGCGUUCAGAUCUCAACUUAAUCACCUCGAUGAAACUGGUGGCGGCAGUUCUGAUAAUUGCAAAGAUGUAGAUGUUGUCAACGUGCUUCCCGAAUUCCCUGCUUCAACAACAGCUGAUUCCAGGGCUGCAUCACAGAUGGUCAGUGAUGGUAGUAGAUUGAAGGAUCAAUCUUUUGUCAAUUCAAGAAUCAGGAGCCAGGAAGUCCCAUCUUUUGAUUAUGAUAAAAGUAAUGAAACUGCAAUUGUGCUCUCCUCGAUUUCUGAUUUUCAAAAGGCUGAGCGGGCCCCACAAAGAGUACCCCUUGCUCCGUUCUCAAAACCAGCACCAUCCAAAUGGGAUGAUGCCCAGAAGUGGAUAGCAAGCCCCACUUGGAACCGGCCUAAAACAGGGCAUGCUCAGGUGCAAGGUGGACAAGGACCGCGGAAGACGGGUAAUGCUCUGAGUCGGCAAUCUUCUACAAAGGUUGUUGUAGAAGUUCCAGAACAAAAGGUGGUUACAUUUGAAGAACCAGAUACAAAACGGGUUGAUACUAAUCAAGCUAAGAAGGAAACUUGUCUGCAGAAACUUCAAAGUUGGGAGGCUGAUUCAUACCCAAUAGUUGAUUCCUAUGGCAAGCCUGUGCUUAUGAAUGAGAAUUCUGCUGGGCAAUCAGCAAUCAGUCUCAGCAGGCAUGAUUCAUCUUUGGCCAUACACAGUGCAACUACAUUUAUCCCGCCUCCUUCAACUGCUAGGUCUGUGUCAAUGAGAGAUAUGGGUACAGAAAUGACUCCUAUUGCUAGUCAAGAGCCUUCUAGGACAGGAACUCCAGUGAGGGCAACAACACCAAUUCGCAGUCCAACUUCUUCCAGGCCUUCAAGUCCUGGCAGAACCGCACCAGCUUCAUCUCCAACAAAUCCUCCCAAUGACCAUCUAGAUCCAAACAGGGGAUUGUCUGAAAAGGAGUUAAAACUGAAAACCAAGAGAGAAAUAAUGGUUCUAGGGACACAGCUAGGUAAAAUGAACAUUGCAGCCUGGGCUAGCAAAGAGGGGGAGGACAAGGACGCAUCCACUUCACUGAAAAUUAUAGCAGCUGAUCAACAGAGUAAAAAUGUGAUUGAAACACGUGCAGCAGCAUGGGAGGAGGCGGAGAAGGCCAAGUAUAUGGCCAGGUUUAAACGUGAAGAGAUGAAAAUUCAUGCAUGGGAGAAUCAUCAAAAAGCAAAAACUGAAGCUGAGAUGAGAAAAAUUGAGUUCAUCGUGUUUUACUGCCUUCCUGUUAUUGAAACUUUGGUGUACGCAAAGAUCCAGUUGCAAAGCUGCACAGCUAAAGUGGUUUUCACCAAAGAUGUAGCACGUGUUUAGAAAGUAGAGCUUUGACAUCGUUUAUCAUUUGUGUGUGAGUGGGAUAAGAGGAAGGGUUUAAUACAUGAUGAGUUGGAAAUAGAGUUUUCUUUGGAUGUUGGAAAAGGAUCUUCCAGUGCAAGAUUGAGAGCUUGACAUGCAACCACAUAAACUUGGGAAAGAAGAUUCUGAUGUUGGAAAUUAGCAAAGAGCAGGUGGAGGUUGAAAGGAUAAGGGGGCAGGCCCAAGAUAGGCUUAUGAACAAACUAGCAGCAGCAAGGCACAAGGCUGAAGAGAAGCGAGCAACAGCAGAAGCCAAGAGUAACAGGCAGGCUGCGAAAACUGACAAACAGGC